Non-coding RNA from Rhea pennata, 507 nucleotides. Lineage: Eukaryota; Metazoa; Chordata; Aves; Rheiformes; Rheidae. The record is from the annotation of a RefSeq genome assembly.
AUGUACCUCCAAUACCUCGUCCUCGCUGCCCUCCUGGGGAAUUCGCUGGAUGCCAUGGGCCAGACCACCGUGACUCAGAAAGAUAGUCUAGACACAGUGGAGGAGAGAGGCACUUUCCAGACCACCUGCACCUACCAGACCUCCAGCUUUUAUGGCUUGUUCUGGUACCAGCAGAGGAGUGGCCAAGCCCCACAGCUGGUCUCGCAUCAGGUGGGAGCUGGUCGCAAGGACAGCAGCCGAUUCACCACACCACUGAACACCACAGGGAAAUACAGCCUCCUGAAGCUGGAGGAAGUCAAGGUCUCUGACACUGCCUUGUACCUCUGUGGUGUGGAAGACACUCUGGUGCAGGAAGCUUCCUUGGCUGUGCAAAAACCUGAGGCAGGGAGGAGGGUGAGGGUGCCUCUAGACAAGGUGGAGCUCCAUGGACAUGACCCUCAGCUCUCCCCUAGCAAUACUAUUUUCAGACUGGUGUCUGCAGGCCUGACAGGGAGGAGAAGCUGGUGA